GAUGAACGCUGGCGGCGUGCCUAAUACAUGCAAGUCGAGCGAACAGACGAUGAGCUUGCUCCUCUGACGUUAGCGGCGGACGGGUGAGUAACACGUGGAUAACCUACCUAUAAGACUGGGAUAACUUCGGGAAACCGGAGCUAAUACCGGAUAAUAUAUUGAACCGCAUGGUUCAAUAGUGAAUGACGGUUUUGCUGUCACUUAUAGAUGGAUCCGCGCCGCAUUAGCUAGUUGGUAAGGUAACGGCUUACCAAGGCAACGAUGCGUAGCCGACCUGAGAGGGUGAUCGGCCACACUGGAACUGAGACACGGUCCAGACUCCUACGGGAGGCAGCAGUAGGGAAUCUUCGGCAAUGGGCGAAAGCCUGACGGAGCAACGCCGCGUGAGUGAUGAAGGUCUUCGGAUCGUAAAACUCUGUUAUUAGGGAAGAACAAAUGUGUAAGUAACUAUGCACGUCUUGACGGUACCUAAUCAGAAAGCCACGGCUAACUACGUG
This 497-nucleotide ribosomal RNA is filed under the name uncultured bacterium. RNAcentral describes it as "partial 16S ribosomal RNA". It matches the Rfam family "Bacterial small subunit ribosomal RNA", at positions 28 to 507 of the family's 1533-position model. The record is from RNAcentral.